This 250-nucleotide unclassified non-coding RNA is filed under the name plant metagenome. RNAcentral's name for it is "partial contains small subunit ribosomal RNA, internal transcribed spacer 1, and 5.8S ribosomal RNA". The record is from RNAcentral.
GUAGGUGAACCUGCGGAUGGAUCAUUAUCACGUAUCCACGUAUCAACCAUUGUGAACUGUUUUUACCUCUGAUAGGAUUUAGUGAAAGGUUUCGGCCUCUUCUUAUCAGUUGUAUUCACUUUUUUUAUUAACAAUUUAAACCUUAACUUUAAACUUUUGAACUGAUUUAUUUUAUACUCUUCGGAGAUAAAAUUCAUUACGAAACAAAGAACAACUCUUAGCAACGGAUAUCUUGGUUCUCGCAUCGAUG